RNAcentral lists this long non-coding RNA (2384 nucleotides) under Canis lupus familiaris (dog). RNAcentral's name for it is "lncRNA (ENSCAFG00000058878.1, ENSCAFG00805014277.1)". Lineage: Eukaryota; Metazoa; Chordata; Mammalia; Carnivora; Canidae. The record is from RNAcentral.
UUUUUUUUUUUUUUUUUUUUUUUACCAAAAACUUUCAAAUCAUGUGGAGGGGUGUAUGUUUAGAUAAAGUUCUAGAAGAAUACAAAUCAUAGUGCAAUUAUCCCUGGAGAACAGGUGUACACACGCAAUUUCCUUUUUAGCUUUAUAUUCUUGAAUAUUGUUUAAAAUUUUCAGUGGAAUGAAUUGUUUUCUAAAUUCUUAAUCAAGACAAUUGAAGAAAAGAAAUAAGAUCCAAAGAAAUCUUAAGUAUAUCUCUGUCAUGGGUAUCAACCUACCAAGUUUUAAAGAUCCCUGAAAGACCAUCUUUACCAUAAAAUUUCAAGUUUACUUUACAGCUCCUCCUCUUGACGCUGGAAUAGAGAUAUAUGAUUUUACAUGCAAGGCUAGGAGUUUCAUUUCUGACCCUCUCCCAAUUAUUCUGUCCUAUUUAUUUCCAGAUGCCUUUACCCAUGGAGGUAAAUCUGACCUUUGGUGAAGGUCACCUGACAUAAACCAGUAUACACUCACUGGGCCAGUACGCUGGUAGCACCCAGAAACAGGAGUUGUACUAAGUUAAAGCAAGCCAUCCAGAAACCACAUCCUGAAGUCUGCUGUGAAUGGGUGAUCGCACAGCUCACCAGCCAGGGCUGUCAUUGCUUGGCCAUUAGCACUGAGGCCCAGGAAGCAGAGUCCUCUGGAAGAAGCAUCAGCCACACUCCAGGGCUUCUGUCAGCUGACCAUUGCAAGGACAACAAAUUAGACUUGCUCUUCUUUGAUGGCAGAGGAACCACCUUCCAGAACCAGUGUGAAGCUCACCCAAGAGCCUGUGUGUCACAGUUUUGUGAAUGCCCAAGUGUUCUGACAUAGGGAGUCUAUACUACUCACCUUACUAAUACUCCCAACAGAUUUUUUGUUUUCCUGACUUCCACUCUCCUGGCCAAGUCUCUGCUGGGUGGAUACCACACUGGGCUGACAGAAGGCAUUUGUUAGUCUUUGUAGACUGUUUAUUUCUGAUAAAGGUAAUUCAUGACAACACCUGUAUGGAUACUGCCCGGUGGUGUGUUGGUAAAUGUUUAACAACCAGCUUUCCUGGACAAACUACCCCUAGGCUAGUAAUAUUUAUCAAUUUCCUUAGCGUAAUGGCAACUUCCAAGACUGAGGUCAAGAUACCAACAAAAUGUCACUGAAUAUUGGGAACACACGCACAUACUAGCAUUACUAUUUCUAUCUUAAGAGCAGAGUUAUUUAAUCAUAAAUGCACAUAGUUUAGCAUCUAAAAAUGGCUGAGUUUAAGAAUGGCCUCACAAAAUUCCUGAAAAUUUAGCAACUGGCUCAUGCAAGCCAGUACAAACUGGCUCCAGCACACCCCGAGAUUCCCACAGUGCAAGAUGUUACAGAUAUUCUUUUGCCUGGAAAAGUCACAGUCAUUUAUUUCCUUAACAGAUACUCAGAUCUCCCUAUGUUUUGGACAACCCAUGUGCCUGUCUAUAUGUUGACAGGCAGGGCCUAUGUUGACGCAGAUGUCCGGAUUCACAGCUCCUUGGGCUUGGUGUCGGGGCUGGACAGCGCAGUAGAUAAGGAAAGUCAUGGACACCAGAGUCAAAUAAACCAGUACCAUUCUGCAUUAAUGUACCAUUUAGUAAUUCCUUAACUGUUAAUUUAAUGAUUUAAUAAAUAUUGCCUAUGUUAUAUUAAAAAAAGAGAUAAAACAGGUAGAGAAUAUUCUUAAAACAGAUGUGAUGUUUAAGGACAUCUGUACAACACUCAGCAUUUGAGAGGAGCUUAGUACGUAUCAGCACCCUUUCUCUUGAACGAGCACCUCCACAGAUCCCAGGUAAUCGAUUGGGGCUAUUUAAAGAGGCCUGCAGAGCCAGGCAGUGUCAGGACACGGCAGGCUGAACCUGACUCCUUUUCUUUUUACCUGAUUUGGAAAUCAGGUUGGGAGCAACCCUGACUUUGUCAUUCCGGUGCCUGGCAACAGUCUGCCGUUUAAUCUCCUAGGCGAGCUGCCCUUGUGUGGCAGGUUCUACAGACAAAACUGUCCUGGGUCUGUGGUGAUAAUAUUCCUCUGGGUCACUCAGGUUGGAUGGAUAAUCAGUUGCCUUCAUUCUUGGGAACCAUCCCAGCCUCCCAAGGCUCUGCAGCCACACGAGCUUACCCAGGGUGCUAGGCCUCUCCAAGGUGAGCCUCAACAGAGUUUGUAAAAAGGUUUUCAACAGGAAAACUAUGUAUAACAGCAAUUUGAACUCUUCUCUAGUUAACUGAUCAAAUCACAUGCUUUGUACAUGCGAAUGGAUUUUUUGGGAACAUCAAAAAUUUAUUUUAAAAUAUCCUUCAGAAAAUAUGGAGGUGAAUUUACCAAAAAAUUGUCUAGGGUACAAGAAUUACAAGAGUGCUCAGUUUCC